Molecule: long non-coding RNA, 492 nt
Filed under: Bos taurus (domestic cattle)
Lineage: Eukaryota; Metazoa; Chordata; Mammalia; Artiodactyla; Bovidae
Description: long non-coding RNA NONBTAT015665
Source: RNAcentral
GUUUGUUUUGUUAUAUUUCAUUUAGUACUUUGUCUCUUUGUCCUGAUGUGUCUUUACAGUAAGUAAAAAGCAGAUGUUGGUGGUAGAACCACUAGUUUGUAACACAUUUUUGUGUUGUGAAAACUUGGUUCACUAAGAUUUUGAUGACACUCAGCCUGAACUUGGUAUCUGUUGGUAUUUAAUCAGGGAUAGGAGCAUCCCAGGAUGCUCAGAAAAACGAGUCCCAUUCAGGGAAAUUAUUACUCCAAACAGUUUGCCUUGGAAACCUUGUUUCCUUGUUAUUUUGUAUACUCUGUAGCUAUUUUAAAAUAUUAUGCAUUGAGAAAACAUUAAUGCUAAAUGAUAUUCAGUCAUAAUUCCAUCACCUUUGUAUAGCCACUGUUGCCAUUGUUCCUUACUUUUUUUACUUAAUUUUAUGUGAGCUCUCUUACACUGUCUAUCCUCUUAAGUGCUUUGCUGUUGUGGAUAUCAGGCUUCAGAUUUUUUAAUGUU